This 1365-nucleotide ribosomal RNA is filed under the name Fusiturris similis. RNAcentral's name for it is "large subunit ribosomal RNA". The stretch from base 599 to 1365 matches the Rfam family "Archaeal large subunit ribosomal RNA", at positions 1423 to 2857 of the family's 2987-position model. The record is from RNAcentral. Lineage: Eukaryota; Metazoa; Mollusca; Gastropoda; Neogastropoda; Turridae.
AUAUAGCAUUCAAAGAUAGAAAUUAAUCUAAAUUACUAAUCAAAACAUUAUUAAACUUAGUAAAGGUGAUUGAAAUUUUAUUUAUUUCUUUUUGAAAAGUACUGUAGAGGAAUAAGUAACUAAUAAAAAUAAAAAAGAAACUAAACUUCGUACCUUUUGCAUCAUGGCUUAACUAGAUUUAACUGAAUAUACAGAUUCUCGAAAUUUAAUGAGCUAUUUUUGACCUUUAUAUUAGGAAUAAGAGACUAAUUGUAGCAAAAAUUUUCUCAGAGUCAAAAAUAGAAAUGAAAUUUUAUUCGCAUUAAAUGAUAGCUAGUUUUUCCUAAAAGAUAUAGAAGUAUUUAAGGAUUAAUCUAUUUAUUAGUAAUUUUUUUACUAAUAAAAUUUAAUCUAAGCAUGCUUUUAAGGAUAAGCUUAAAAGCCUCAAUAAAAUAUUUGUUCUUAAUUAAAAUUUAAAUUUAAGCUUGAAAAUAGCUAAGAUUAUUGAUUUUGUUAUAAUUCAUUUUAUCUUUAAAAUAAUAAUUAAUUUACUAUAACACAAAAGGAAGAAUUCUUAAUAAUUAAAAUGAGUUGUAUACAUGUUAAGAUGAGUAUUAAUUAGUUAUGAUUAUUUAAGAAUGAUAUGUCUUAAAAUAAUAUUUUAAUAUUUUAUAAAUAAAAUUAUAAAAAGGAACUCGGCAAAACUAUAUUCUACCUGUUUAUUAAAAACAUGGCUCCUUGAAGAUAAGAUAAUAGGGAGUCAGGCCUGCCCAGUGAAGUUUUUUAACGGCCGCGGUACCCUGACCGUGCAAAGGUAGCAUAAUCAUUUGCCUUAUAAUUGAAGGCUGGUAUGAAUGGUUUGAUAAGAAUAUAACUGUCUCUUUAUAAUUUAAUAGAAUUUUAUUUCAAGGUGAAGAAGCCUUGGUGUAAUUAAAAGACAAGAAGACCCUAUCGAGCUUUAAAUAACUUAAUAGAAGUGAUAUAUUAAUGAGCUAUGAAGUUCAGCUAUUAAAAAUUUUGGUUGGGGCGACUGAGGAACAAAAAAAGCUUCCUUUAAGUAUUAUAUCACGUACAAGUAUUGAUCCAAAAUUUUUGAUUAAAGAAAUUAGUUACCGUAGGGAUAACAGCAUUAUCUUUUUUAAGAGUUCUUAUUGAAAAAAAGGUUUGUGACCUCGAUGUUGGACCAGAAUAUCCUGAAGAUGCAGAAGUCUUCAAGGGUUGGUCUGUUCGACCAUUAAAAUUCUACGUGAUCUGAGUUUAGACCGGCGUGAGCCAGGUCAGUUUCUAUCUUUAAUUUUUUAAUAUGAGCUUAGUACGAAAGGACCAGCUUAUUGCAAGACCUAGUGUUCUAAGUGAAGAAAUAUAAUUUAUGUAAUUAAAAUAAUA